GAUGAACGCUGGCGGCGUGCCUAAUACAUGCAAGUCGAGCGAACAGACGAGGAGCUUGCUCCUCUGACGUUAGCGGCGGACGGGUGAGUAACACGUGUAUAACCUACCUAUAAGACUGGGAUAACUUCGGGAAACCGGAGCUAAUACCGGAUAAUAUAUUGAACCGCAUGGUUCAAUAGUGAAAGUCGGUUUUGCUGUCACUUAUAGAUGGAUCUGCGCCGCAUUAGCUAGUUGGUAAGGUAACGGCUUACCAAGGCAACGAUGCGUAGCCGACCUGAGAGGGGGAUCGGCCACACUAGAACUGAGACGCGGUCCAGACUCCUAAGGGAGGCAGCAGUAGGGAAUCUUACGCAGUAGGCGAAAGCAUGACGGAGCAACGGCGCGUGAGUGAUGGAGGUCUUCGGAGCGUAAAACUCUGUUAUUAGGUAAGAACAAAUGUGGAAGGAACUAUGCACGUCUUGACGGUACUUAAUCAGAAAGCCACGGCUAACUACGUG
RNAcentral lists this ribosomal RNA (497 nucleotides) under uncultured bacterium. RNAcentral describes it as "partial 16S ribosomal RNA". It matches the Rfam family "Bacterial small subunit ribosomal RNA", at positions 28 to 507 of the family's 1533-position model. The record is from RNAcentral.